GGCUUCGUGGUCAAGUGGUAGACACUUGCCUCUCACUCUGGAGUCCCGGGUUCAAUCCCCUGUCUAGAAGCUA
This is a non-coding RNA of Rhamnusium bicolor, 73 nucleotides long. NCBI's taxonomy places the organism in Eukaryota, Metazoa, Arthropoda, Insecta, Coleoptera, Cerambycidae. The record is from the annotation of a GenBank genome assembly.